RNAcentral lists this ribosomal RNA (490 nucleotides) under uncultured bacterium. Its description in RNAcentral is "partial 16S ribosomal RNA". It matches the Rfam family "Bacterial small subunit ribosomal RNA", at positions 30 to 507 of the family's 1533-position model. The record is from RNAcentral.
AUUGAACGCUGGCGGCAGGCCUAACACGUGCAAGUCGAACGGUAACAGGAAGCAGCUUGCUGCUUUGCUGACGAGUGGCGGACGGGUGAGUAAUGUCUGGGAAACUGCCUGAUGGAGGGGGAUAACUACUGGAAACGGUAGCUAAUACCGCAUAACGUCGCAAGACCAAAGAGGGGGACCUUCGGGCCUCUUGCCAUCGGAUGUGCCCAGAUGGGAUUAGCUUGUUGGUGGGGUAACGGCUCACCAAGGCGACGAUCCCUAGCUGGUCUGAGAGGAUGACCAGCCACCCUGGAACUGAGACACGGUCCAGACUCCUACGGGAGGCAGCAGUGGGGAAUAUUGCACAAUGGGCGCAAGCCUGAUGCAGCCAUGCCGCGUGUAUGAAGAAGGCCUUCGGGUUGUAAAGUACUUUCAGCGGGGAGGAAGGGGGUAAAGUUAAUACCUUUACUCAUUGACGUUACCCGCAGAAGAAGCACCGGCUAACUCCGUG